RNAcentral lists this ribosomal RNA (446 nucleotides) under uncultured bacterium. Its description in RNAcentral is "bacterial SSU rRNA". It matches the Rfam family "Bacterial small subunit ribosomal RNA", at positions 331 to 792 of the family's 1533-position model. The record is from RNAcentral.
CCAGACUCCUACGGGAGGCAGCAGUGGGGAAUAUUGCACAAUGGGGGGAACCCUGAUGCAGCGACGCCGCGUGGGCGAGGAAGUAUUUCGGUAUGUAAAGCCCUAUCGGCAGGGAAGAAGAAAUGACGGUACCUGAAUAAGAAGCACCGGCUAAAUACGUGCCAGCAGCCGCGGUAAUACGUAGGGGGCAAGCGUUAUCCGGAUUUACUGGGUGUAAAGGGAGCGUAGACGGCAGUGCAAGUCUGGAGUGAAAGGCGGGGGCUCAACCCCCGGACUGCUCUGGAAACUGUACGGCUGGAGUGCAGGAGAGGUAAGUGGAAUUCCUAGUGUAGCGGUGAAAUGCGUAGAUAUUAGGAGGAACACCAGUGGCGAAGGCGGCUUACUGGACUGUAACUGACGUUGAGGCGCGAAAGCGUGGGGAGCAAACAGGAUUAGAUACCCGUGUA